This 494-nucleotide ribosomal RNA is filed under the name uncultured bacterium. Its description in RNAcentral is "partial 16S ribosomal RNA". It matches the Rfam family "Bacterial small subunit ribosomal RNA", at positions 28 to 507 of the family's 1533-position model. The record is from RNAcentral.
GACGAACGCUGGCGGCGUGCUUAACACAUGCAAGUCGAACGGAAAGGCCUGCUUUCCCUUGUGGAUUGCGGGUACUCGAGUGGCGAACGGGUGAGUAACACGUGAGUGAUCUGCCCCCAACUUUGGUAUAAGCCUGGGAAACUGGGUCUAAUUCCCGAUAGGACUGCAGGGUGGUGCCUGUGGUGGAAAACGAUUUUCUAGUGGUUGGGGAUGAGCUCGCGGCCUAUCAGCUUGUUGGUGGGGUAAUGGCCUACCAAGGCGGCGACGGGUAGCCGGCCUGGGAGGGUGGACGGCCACAUUGGGACUGAGAUACGGCCCAGACUCCUACGGGAGGCAGCAGUGGGGAAUAUUGCACAAUGGGCGGAAGCCUGAUGCAGCGACGCCGCGUGGGGGAUGACGGCCUUCGGGUUGUAAACUCCUUUCGACCGCGAGGAAGCCACCUGGUUGGAAGGGUGGUGACGGUAGUGGUAGAAGAAGCACCGGCUAACUACGUG